Nyctereutes procyonoides (raccoon dog) is the source of this 304-nucleotide long non-coding RNA. RefSeq lists it as uncharacterized. The record is from RefSeq and is a predicted model, not a curated record. NCBI's taxonomy places the organism in Eukaryota, Metazoa, Chordata, Mammalia, Carnivora, Canidae. The transcript has 3 exons.
UUCCCGAGUCAGAGAGAGCUGGAGCCCGGCACACACUGAGCGCUGAGCAUCAGGCAAGCCCUCAGCUCCUUCCUCUGUCACAUUCAGGCUUCCUUUUCCUUUGGACACCCUGCUCCGUGGAAGCUUCACAGACCUGAGAACAACACCUUCCAAACCAGCCUGGACCUUUUGUGCAUAGAACACAGCUGUUGGCAUCUCCAAAGAACCCCGGCCUGGGAAGGGUGCCUCUCAUCUCUGGUCUGCAGGUCUGCCAGGCAAGGAAUCCCCUUGUCUGGGGGAGAUUAUCACUGAAAUGAUGAGCUUG